This 320-nucleotide ribosomal RNA is filed under the name uncultured eukaryote. RNAcentral describes it as "partial 18S ribosomal RNA". It matches the Rfam family "Eukaryotic small subunit ribosomal RNA", at positions 1470 to 1796 of the family's 1831-position model. The record is from RNAcentral.
CCCCUAGAUGUUCUGGGCCGCACGCGCGCUACACUGAACAGUUCAACAAGUCUUAACCUUGGCCGAUAGGUCUGGGUAAUCUUUGAACGCUGUUCGUGAUUGGGAUAGACCUUUGCAAUUAUGGGUCUUCAACGAGGAAUUCCUAGUAAACGCAAGUCAUCAGCUUGCAUUGAUUACGUCCCUGCCCUUUGUACACACCGCCCGUCGCACCUACCGAUUGAAUGGUCCGGUGAAAUCUCGGGACGGCGGCUUGGUCGCUUGCGUCCGACAGCUGAAACUUGAUUAAACCAUAUCAUUUAGAGGAAGGUGAAGUCGUAACA